This 255-nucleotide ribosomal RNA is filed under the name uncultured bacterium. Its description in RNAcentral is "partial 16S ribosomal RNA". It matches the Rfam family "Bacterial small subunit ribosomal RNA", at positions 524 to 776 of the family's 1533-position model. The record is from RNAcentral.
GACAUAGGUGGCGAACGUUAUCCGGAAUUAUUGGGCGUAAAGGAUGCGUAGAUGGUUCAAUAAGUUACUGGUGGGAAAUCGAGGCUCAACCUCGUGGAAGUUGGUAAUACUGUUGAACUCGAGUGCAGGAGAGGUUAACGGAACUUUAUGUGGAGCGGUAAAAUGCGUAGAUAUAUGAAAGAACACCAAUAUAGCGAAGGCAGUUAACUAUUCUGCUACUGACAUUGAGGCAUGAAAGCGUGGGGAGCAAAACGG